AGGCGCGAAAACUUUACACUGCGGGAAACCGCGAUAAGGGAACCCCGAGUGCCAGCACCAAGUGCUGGCUGUCCAGAUGACUAAAACUCAUCUGAUAGCAAGGGCCGGGCAAGACCGGUGCCAGCCGCCGCGGUAACACCGGCGGCCCGAGUGGUAACCGUCUUUAUUGGGUCUAAAGGGUCCGUAGCCGGUCUGAAAAGUCUUCUGGGAAAUCUGGCAGCUUAACUGUCAGGCUUCCAGGAGAUACUGUCAGACUUGGGACCGGGAGAGGUAAGGGGUACUCCAGGGGUAGGAGUGAAAUCUUGUAAUCCUUGGGGGACCAUCGGUGGCGAAGGCGCCUUACCAGAACGGGUCCGACGGUGAGGGACGAAAGCUAGGGGAGCAAACCGGAUUAGAUACCCGGGUAGUCCUAGCCGUAAACGAUGCUCGCUAGGUGUCUGGCACGGUGCGUCCGUGUCUGGUGCCGCAGGGAAGCCGUGAAGCGAGCCACCUGGGAAGUACGGUCGCAAGGCUGAAACUUAAAGGAAUUGGCGGGGGAGCACUACAACGGGUGGAGCCUGCGGUUUAAUUGGAUUCAACGCCGGAAAUCUCACCGGGUGCGACAGCAAUAUGUAGGUCAGGCUGAAGGUCUUACCUGAAUCGCUGAGAGGAGGUGCAUGGCCGUCGUCAGUUCGUACUGUGAAGCAU
Molecule: ribosomal RNA, 687 nt
Filed under: uncultured archaeon
Lineage: Archaea
Description: bacterial SSU rRNA
Rfam family: Archaeal small subunit ribosomal RNA
Source: RNAcentral